This 299-nucleotide signal recognition particle RNA is filed under the name Cebus imitator (Panamanian white-faced capuchin). RNAcentral's name for it is "Metazoan signal recognition particle RNA (ENSCCAG00000006927.1)". It matches the Rfam family "Metazoan signal recognition particle RNA". From Rfam's summary of the family: The signal recognition particle (SRP) is a universally conserved ribonucleoprotein. It is involved in the co-translational targeting of proteins to membranes. The record is from RNAcentral. Lineage: Eukaryota; Metazoa; Chordata; Mammalia; Primates; Cebidae.
GCCGGGCGUGGUGGUGCGUGCCUGUAGUCCCAGCUACUCGGGAGGCUGAGGUGGGGGGAUCGCUUGAGCCCAGGAGUUCUGGGCUGUAGUGUGCUGUGCCGAUCGGGUGUCCACACUAAGUUCAGCAUCAAUAUAGUGACCUCCCGGGAGCAGGGGACCACCAGGUUGCCUAAGGAGGGGUGAGCCAGCCCAGGUCAGAAACAGAGCAGGUCAAAACUCCCGUGCUGAUCAGAAGUGGGAUCGCGCCUGUGAAUAGCCACUGCGCUCCAGCCUGGGCAACACAGCAAGACCCCGUCUCU